Molecule: ribosomal RNA, 508 nt
Filed under: uncultured bacterium
Lineage: Bacteria
Description: partial 16S ribosomal RNA
Rfam family: Bacterial small subunit ribosomal RNA
Source: RNAcentral
GAUGAACGCUAGCUACAGGCUUAACACAUGCAAGUCGAGGGGAAACGAUAGGGAAAGCUUGCUCUUUCUAGGCGUCGACCGGCGCACGGGUGAGUAACGCGUAUCCAACCUGCCCAUCACUUGGGGAUAACCUUGCGAAAGUAAGACUAAUACCCAAUGACGUCUCUAGAAGACAUAUGAAGGAGAUUAAAGAUUUAUCGGUGAUGGAUGGGGAUGCGUCUGAUUAGCUUGUUGGCGGGGUAACGGCCCACCAAGGCGACGAUCAGUAGGGGUUCUGAGAGGAAGGUCCCCCACGUUGGAACUGAGACAAGGUCCAAACUCCUACGGGAAGCAGCAGUGAGGAAUAUUGGUCAAUGGACGAGAGUCUGAACCAGCAAAGUAGCGUGCAGGAAGACGGCCCUAUGGGUUGUAAACUGCUUUUAUAAGGGAAUAAAGUGAGUCUCGUGAGACUUUUUGCAUGUACCUUAUGAAUAAGGACCGGCUAAUUCCGUGCCAGCCGCCGCCGUAA